RNAcentral lists this ribosomal RNA (250 nucleotides) under uncultured bacterium. RNAcentral's name for it is "partial 16S ribosomal RNA". It matches the Rfam family "Bacterial small subunit ribosomal RNA", at positions 30 to 276 of the family's 1533-position model. The record is from RNAcentral.
AUUGAACGCUGGCGGAAUGCUUUACACAUGCAAGUCGAACGGCAGCACGGGAGCUUGCUCCUGGUGGCGAGUGGCGAACGGGUGAGUAACAUAUCGGAACGUACCCCGUCGUGGGGGAUAACUCUCCGAAAGGAGUGCUAAUACCGCAUACGACCUGAGGGUGAAAGCGGGGGACCAGUAAUGGCCUCGCGCGAUUGGAGCGGCCGAUGUCGGAUUAGGUAGUUGGUGAGGUAAAGGCUCACCAAGCCAA